RNAcentral lists this ribosomal RNA (651 nucleotides) under Gekko hokouensis. Its description in RNAcentral is "partial 12S ribosomal RNA". It matches the Rfam family "Bacterial small subunit ribosomal RNA", at positions 642 to 1521 of the family's 1533-position model. Lineage: Eukaryota; Metazoa; Chordata; Lepidosauria; Squamata; Gekkonidae. The record is from RNAcentral.
CAAUUUUAAAUGCGGGACUCACAACCCAGAUAAAGCCGUAAAACGCACACAUCAAAAGGAAUCUCUCCACGCCCCCAUUAACAAAUCACCUUUGACUACACGAAAUCUGUGACACAAACUAGGAUUAGAUACCCUAUUAUGCCCAGACAUAAACACAGGCAGCAAGCUUAACCCACCAUGCCCGCCAGAGAACUACACGCACCCUAGCGUAAAACUCAAAGGACUUGACGGUGUCUCAUACCGCCCUAGAGGAGCCUGUCCUAUAAUCGAUACUCCCCGCUACACCUCACCCCCCAUUGCAAAGCUUCAACCUAUAUACCGCCGUCGCCAGCUCACCUUACAAAAGCCAAACAGUGUGCAAAAUAGUUCCCCACUAAAAAGUCAGGUCAAGGUGUAGUUAAUUGGGGGGACAGCGAUGGGCUACAUUUUCUAGCAAAGAAGCCCCCAGCAAUAUGAAAUAAUGCCAUAAGACGGAUUUAGCAGUAAAUAGAGCAAGAGCCGCUCAAUUGAAGCUCGCCCUGAGACGCGUACACACCGCCCGUCACCCUCCUCAGAAACCAAAAAUCAAAAUAACUAAGCCCCUCCCCCAAAUCUACCAGAUGAGGCAAGUCGUAACAUGGUAAGUGUACUGGAAAGUGCACUUGGCAAAAC